RNAcentral lists this ribosomal RNA (520 nucleotides) under uncultured bacterium. RNAcentral's name for it is "bacterial SSU rRNA". It matches the Rfam family "Bacterial small subunit ribosomal RNA", at positions 28 to 526 of the family's 1533-position model. The record is from RNAcentral.
GACGAACGCUGGCGGCGUGGAUAAGACAUGCAAGUCGAACGGAUUAUCAUCUGUAGCAAUACAGGUGGUAGUUAGUGGCGUAAGGGUGCGUAACACGUGGGCAACCUGCCCGGAAGAGUGGGAUAGCUCGCCGAAAGGCGAAUUAAUACCGCAUGAGGCUAGGGAGGACAUCCUCCUGAGGCCAAAGUUGGUGAAAGCUAACGCUUCUGGAUGGGCCCGCGGCCUAUCAGCUAGUUGGUUGAGGUAACGGCUCACCAAGGCUAUGACGGGUAGCUGGUCUGAGAGGACGACCAGCCACACUGGAACUGAGACACGGUCCAGACACCUACGGGUGGCAGCAGUCGAGAAUUUUUCUCAAUGGGGGAAACCCUGAAGGAGCGACGCCGCGUGGAGGAUGAAGGUCUUCGGAUUGUAAACUCCUGUCAUUGGUGAACAAGGUCCUACGGGUAACUACCGUGGGGAUUGAUAGUAGCCGAAGAGGAAGAGACGGCUAACUCUGUGCCAGCCGCCGCCGUAACAC